GACGAACGCUGGCGGCGUGCUUAACACAUGCAAGUCGAACGGUAAGGCCCUUCGGGGUACACGAGUGGCGAACGGGUGAGUAACACGUGGGUGAUCUGCCCUGCACUUCGGGAUAAGCCUGGGACACUGGGUCUAAUACCGGAUAGGACCACUGCCUUCAUGGGUGGUGGUGGAAAGCUUUUGCGGUGUGGGAUGGGCCCGCGGCCUAUCAGCUUGUGGGUGGGGUGAUGGCCUACCAAGGCGACGACGGGUAGCCGGCCUGAGAGGGUGACCGGCCACACUGGGACUGAGAUACGGCCCAGACUCCUACGGGAGGCAGCAGUGGGGAAUAUUGCACAAUGGGCGCAAGCCUGAUGCAGCGACGCCGCGUGAGGGAUGACGGCCUUCGGGUUGUAAACCUCUUUCAGCACCGACGAAGCGCAAGUGACGGUAGGUGCAGAAGAAGGACCGGCCAACUACGUACCAGCAGCCGCGGUAA
Molecule: ribosomal RNA, 478 nt
Filed under: uncultured bacterium
Lineage: Bacteria
Description: partial 16S ribosomal RNA
Rfam family: Bacterial small subunit ribosomal RNA
Source: RNAcentral